GACGAACGCUGGCGGCGUGCUUAACACAUGCAAGUCGAACGGUAAGGCCCUUCGGGGUACACGAGUGGCGAACGGGUGAGUAACACGUGGGUGAUCUGCCCUGCACUUCGGGAUAAGCCUGGGAAACUGGGUCUAAUACCGGAUAGGACUCCUGGCUUCAUGGUUGGGGGUGGAAAGCUUUUGCGGUGUGGGAUGGGCCCGCGGCCUAUCAGCUUGUUGGUGGGGUAAUGGCCUACCAAGGCGACGACGGGUAGCCGGCCUGAGAGGGUGACCGGCCACACUGGUACUGAGAUACGGCCCAGACUCCUACGUGAGGCAGCAGUGGGGAAUAUUGCACAAUGGGCGCAAGCCUGAUGCAGCGACGCCGCGUGAGGGAUGCCGGCCUUCGGGUUGUAAACCUCUUUCAGCACCGACGAAGCGCAAGUGACGGUAGGUGCAGAAGAAGGACCGGCCAACUACGUGCCAGCAGCCGCGGUAA
This 478-nucleotide ribosomal RNA is filed under the name uncultured bacterium. RNAcentral's name for it is "partial 16S ribosomal RNA". It matches the Rfam family "Bacterial small subunit ribosomal RNA", at positions 28 to 523 of the family's 1533-position model. The record is from RNAcentral.